UGCCCUGUGAUCCUCCAGCGAGGGGUGGUAUAGGAAUUUAAUAAAUAAUAAUAAUGCUGCUUAUUUUGUAUUCCAAAAUCCAGGUCAGAUUUCCCCAUAUGUAUGAAGGAGCUUGGUAUGAAAGGACUAGAGGAGGAGACAGUUAAAGGAUGAAGUUGAAAUACCAAGUUUUCAAAGGAAUUUCUUUCUGGAGCUAACACCAUGCUUUUACAGAAGGAGCAAUAUCCAAUUAAGUCAUACUGAGACAGAAAUACCUACAGAAAUAAAUUGACUUCAAUUAUUUCAAUGGGUCUACUCUUAAGUCUGAAUUACACAGAAUAUCACCCAAUGACUUUGAACUAUCUUACCUUACAGUAUCUUAGAGAUUCCAUAAGUGUCAAAAAACCAACAGUUGCUUGUUUAUGUAUUCCAAGUAGUUCUGAAGAGAAAUAGAACUCUGUAUUAGAUUGCAAAAUUUGAGUCAUGCUACAGUUUCCUUCUUAAAACAUGCCAUGACACUUUGGCCUACAAUCAAUCAUGUAACAGAGGACAUAAAAGCUAGGCAGAGAAAUAAGGGUGCAAUCCUAUUCCUAAAAUCCUCUGACUGAAUAGACCUUGGAAGUGACAAAACUACUGCCUGACUCAUGGAGAGCAAAUCGUGUUGAUGGAAUGAGAUAUCUACCCCCAGAAUGAUGGUGGAAGGCUAGAGACAGAGGCCAAAGUAUGGUGGUGGAGGGGGGCAUUCUUGGCCCAAGCCCUAUUACAAAUUUUCAAGAGUAACUUAGCAUGGAAAUCAAGUCAUAACAACAGAACAAAAAACUGAUAAACACAUACAACAGAAGAAUUAUUUCUCUCUUUUGUUUACAAGAAGCUUUUUGUUGAUGCCAAAUAUAUGAUGAACUCUUAAAAGCAAACAGUGCUAAGAACUAGAACAUCCUUCUCAAUGGGCUUUUUCUUUCCAUUGCCAACUUGUACUCUGUGCAGAAAAUUUUGAAGAAAAUUGGCUUGUAAAAAGGCCACUCUAAGAAAAACUGAAAACACAGUUGGUGUACUACAAAUUUAUCUGAACUCAAGAGCAUGCUGUUAACAUAUCAGCAAAAUCUGCCCCAAGCCUGCCUGCUUAACUUGAGGCAAACUCCUCCUCUCCCCCAGCCCGUUUUGCAUUCUGUAAGGGAGAGUUGCGUGGCGAUUCCCGCCCCCUCCCACAGAUGGAAUAAAUAAAGACACCGGACACCAGAACUUAGGUUAAUGGGCGAAAAUGGCCACAACUUCACUGAUUACAGGUAAGAGUGGUAUUGGCUUUUAGGCAUUGGCCCUAACAGACUAUCUGGGAAUGGCUUUAUAAAACAUCUCAAGAAAGGUGCACAUAUGUUGCCUGGACAAGUGGUUCCCCAAACCUCCCCCUCCCACUAUGAACCACUUGAAAAUCAGUACUUUUGUUUAUUAUUAUUAUUUCUUUAAUUGAUUAAUUAAUCAAAAUUGAGUGGGCUACUUUUUAUGAAAUAACAAAUAAAAUAUAACCACCAAACUGA
Molecule: non-coding RNA, 1511 nt
Organism: Podarcis muralis (Common wall lizard)
Lineage: Eukaryota; Metazoa; Chordata; Lepidosauria; Squamata; Lacertidae
Source: RefSeq, a predicted model, not a curated record